AAAACGCACAAAAACGAGCUCGAAAAGCAUCAACGCUACUCAUCGUGCCGAGUUUUCACAUAACGCCACCUAAAAGCAAGUUAUCGCAAGUUAACGCGCGUUAAAGCGAGUUAAAGCGGUCAGCGUCUGCUCGACUUUUGAACAAAGCGAAAACGAUCUUGCAUCCCUGCUGUCAUAGCUCGAGCAGUUUUUCGAUCAAGUUUGGCAACUCGGUAUUUGUUUUGAUAAGUUUUCAAGCAGUUUCCGCAGAAAGAAAACAAAAACAAAGCAGGUCACGAUUUUUGGUCAAAGGUCGGAAAACUAAACUCCGAUGGGAUGACCGGCGCCGGUUUUGCUUCAACGAGACAAGCAGCAACUGGACCCGAAAGUGACCCGCAAGCUGCAACUUGGGGAAGAAAAAGUUCAAGUAUCUUAGCAAUCAAUCGAUGGAAAGCACCACAUCUGGGCUUUUUGGUGCGACUCCCCGGGAAGUGUAAUUCCAACAAUGAGCUGCGAGAGAAGAACCGUGAGUUUAAGGCGGCGGCUGUAGGGAGAAGUGUCCAACGAAACCGACGGCACAGUGGACGGUGCCGUUUGGUGUUUUUUCCGGGUGUUUAAGCAAACUAGCUCCCAAAAAAUGACACCGACGAGCGGCUUAGCGUGUGGCUUGUCUGGACCACAACAUAGGCGAGUUCUGCUGUAACCUAUAAGGGAAACCGGUGCCGUUGAAGUGGACAGGUCAAUUCAGGAAAAUGGAAUGACACAUUUGGCGAGAAGAAGAGUAAUAAAGUUCUAGGUGAA
Molecule: long non-coding RNA, 780 nt
Organism: Culex quinquefasciatus (southern house mosquito)
Lineage: Eukaryota; Metazoa; Arthropoda; Insecta; Diptera; Culicidae
Exons: 2
Source: RefSeq, a predicted model, not a curated record